AUUACAUGGCCUAGAGUCACGACGCAUCCACUCCCCUUUUUGGCUCUCAUCUUCACCUCAAAAGACCGAGGGAUCAGACUUCAAUGGAGGAAAACUAGCAGCUAACGGACUCCCUCAUAUCAGCGUCGUUUCCCCAUUCUUCAUCCUCAUCUCUUGCUGAACCAGAAAGAGACCUCUCUCAUCUUCAAUAAGAACAAAAAUCGGACCCUUUCCCUCUAGGACCAACCUUAGCCGGCAUAAAUACACACUCAUUCGUCACAAAUAACACACGACUGAAAUAAAGCUAAGAAAAUUCAAAUGAAGAUUUGAAAUCGCCAAGCUUGAAAAACAAAAGAAGAAUUGGAAUAUUUAAAGGAAGAUUGAAGGAAAAUUGAUUUAGAAAUUCAACUUCUUUUUUUCUAUUGGGUUUGUACAAGCUAUCAAAGUUCGAAUCUAUGGCUGUUUUCGCUUCUCUUUUGGGAGGUUGUUAUACUCAAGCCGAGAUCCUUGUUUCUACCGUUGCUCCGGAGUUGACCAAGCUGUAAUUGUAGCGACUGGUUUUUGGAUUUCUUUGGACCUGUUUCAGUCAUUUUCUCUACUGCUUAAUUAGGCAGGUGGUUAAUUUGUGUGGAAUUCUGGCAACUCACCCAUACAACACCCGGUCCAAAAACAAGACGAUCAUGGCUAAUCAAGAACUUGAUGCGAGUGUUAUCAAUCCUUCGAGAGAGGUAGAAGAGUCAGAGGUUAAUUUGAUGAAAGAAGAGAUGUAUAAGCUGAAAUAGCAGAUGGCCGAAAUGUACCAGGCAUGGGCAAAAGGGCAACCACCACCAGCUUACCCCACCAACCCUGCCUUCAUCCCGCCAUUGGCUCAGUCUCAGGAUCAUCCUGCCACCUAUUCGUCCUCGAGCUUUCCCAUUUACCAACAUUACCAGAGCACAACUUCCCAAACACCACCAGCUCCACCACCCAAACCAGUUCCAUACCCUCCUCCACCAGCCACUCCAGUUUUCGUGGUACCCCUCCCGCUACACUCCACAGAUCCUCCAGCGAGCCUUUGUUCCCUGCUCAUGAUAAUCAGUAUUACCCCCCGGAGCCCACUUUCAAAGCUCCAGAACCCUAUUCCUACACGCCUCAUUUUGAUCUCCCUGUGGAGGCUGAGAAACCAUCAAAAAUCCCAAAUAGGAGGAGAUAUUCAGGAAAGUUAAAAGCCUAGAACAGUCAUUCAGAGACAUGAGGGGGUUGGGAAGUCAAGUAAGUGUGGCUUACGAAGAUCUAUGUCUAUUUCCAAAUGUGCAAUUGCCGAUAGGGUUUAAGAUGCCCAAGUUUGAUUUGUACGAUGGGCCUACUGAUCUAGUGGCACAUUUGAGAGAGUUUUGUAGCAAUAUGAGGAGAGCUGGCGGGAAAGACGAGUUGCUAAUAGCAUAUUUCAGUCAGAGUCUGAGUGGUUCAGCGCUGGAGUGGUACACUCAGCAGGAUCACGGAAGAUGGGGGGCAUGGUAGAAGAAGGGCUUAAGUCCAACAAAAUCAUGAGCUACUCAGCUAUUAAGGCAACCACCCAGGCCAUUCAAAAUGGUACUGGGGGAGCAAUUGGAAAGAAGAAGAAAGAGGAUGUCACAACAGUUGAGUCAAGAACUUGGUUCGAAUCCAGGGGUUCACCUUACCACUAUCAUCAGCUUGGUCCCCAUCACCAAACCUACCCCCACACCCCAUAUAAUCUACCCCAACACUACUACCCACCACCAGACCCCUAUAUUUCUGUCCACUAUGCCCAAACAUAUAGCCAACCUCCUGCCCACGCACAAUGGCGUGCGCCAGUCCCACAAAAUACAUACCCAGCUCCACAAAAUGCCUAUCCACCCCCAAAAUCCUACUGAAACCCUCCUGGAUUAGGUUUUCAGCCCAAUCAAGCAUUGAAGAAUGAGAGGUUGCAGAAAAAGAAAACCUUCACUCCAUUAGGAGAGUCCUACACUAGUUUUUUCCACAAGUUGAAACAAUUGGAUAUGUUGAGGCCGAUAGAGCCAAAACUGCCAAAUCCUCCCCCGAGAAAUCUUGAUCAUUUUGUAAGUUGCAAAUAUUGUUCUAGUGCUCUGGGUCACGACACGGAGAAAUGCUGGCAAUUGAAAAUAACUAUUCAAGAGCUCUUUGAUACCAAUCGAAUUGAAGUCCAAGCUCUAGAGGCGCCCAAUAUCAACCAGAAUCUAUUGUCGGCCCAUCAUGAGACAAAUAUGAUCGAGAUAGUGCAUAAAGGAGGGGAGCCUAAGAAUCCUUCGCAGGCCGUCAUGAUGAUUCGAUCCACUGAAGCCAGGCCGUUUGGAAAGUCAACAAGUGAGAAAUCAGUGAUCAGGUUGAGCGGAGCAAAUAGUGAACCAUCUGCGGUGGUCGAGAAGGGGACCUCAAGUGAUGUUGUAGUAAAACAAGAAAGAGCAAAAGUGGUUGUGCCAGGAGUGGCGAACAAGCCUAUUGUAAUUGUGGAGGGUGCCCG
This is a non-coding RNA of Nicotiana tabacum (common tobacco), 2461 nucleotides long. The record is from RefSeq and is a predicted model, not a curated record. NCBI's taxonomy places the organism in Eukaryota, Viridiplantae, Streptophyta, Magnoliopsida, Solanales, Solanaceae.